This 468-nucleotide ribosomal RNA is filed under the name uncultured bacterium. RNAcentral describes it as "partial 16S ribosomal RNA". It matches the Rfam family "Bacterial small subunit ribosomal RNA", at positions 28 to 507 of the family's 1533-position model. The record is from RNAcentral.
GACGAACGCUGGCGGCGUGCUUAACACAUGCAAGUCGAACGGAAAGGCCCUGCUUUUGUUGGGUGCUCGAGUGGCGAACGGGUGAGUAACACGUGAGUAACCUGCCCUUGACUUUGGGAUAACUUCAGGAAACUGGGGCUAAUACCGGAUAGGAGCUCCUGCUGCAUGGUGGGGGUUGGAAAGUUUCGGCGGUUGGGGAUGGACUCGCGGCUUAUCAGCUUGUUGGUGGGGUAGUGGCUUACCAAGGCUUUGACGGGUAGUCGGCCUGAGAGGGUGACCGGCCACAUUGGGACUGAGAUACGGCGCAGACUCCUACGGGAGGCAGCAGUGGGGAAUAUUGCACAAUGGGCGGAAGCCUGAUGCAGCAACGCCGCGUGCGGGAUGACGGCCUUCGGGUUGUAAACCGCUUUCGCCUGUGACGAAGCGUGAGUGACGGUAAUGGGUAAAGAAGCACCGGCUAACUACGUG